Molecule: long non-coding RNA, 430 nt
Filed under: Mustela putorius furo (domestic ferret)
Lineage: Eukaryota; Metazoa; Chordata; Mammalia; Carnivora; Mustelidae
Description: lncRNA (ENSMPUG00000031826.1)
Source: RNAcentral
CAGGGGUUCAAUCUGAUUCAUCUCUAUUUCCCCAGGGCCCAGCACAAUUGCCAGAUUUCAGUCCAUGCAAUUAAUCAAUGCCUGUCGCUGAAGCAAUAAAACUGCCCUCACAGGAGGCCAGCAAUGCCCACCUGAAUUCACUAGCUCGGGCCACCAGACUCAGAUUCAGUGGUUAGGGCGCUAUCUACCCCCACAAAUCCCUGCGCCCUCCUCAAUGGGAUUUGAAGACUGAGAUUACCACUCACCAGCACAUCCCUGAAGAGUAACUGCGGCCCGGAGUGCACUGUCCAGUCCACCGCGCCACUAUUUGGAAUCUUGAUACGAAUCACCAGCACCUGGUUCUCCAUGGCAUGGAAGGGGCCAAGGGCCAGCCACAGCAUUACAGGAAGAGAAAAUAACAGUGGGAACAAUUCCAGCACUCAUGCAGGAG